RNAcentral lists this ribosomal RNA (468 nucleotides) under uncultured bacterium. Its description in RNAcentral is "partial 16S ribosomal RNA". It matches the Rfam family "Bacterial small subunit ribosomal RNA", at positions 28 to 507 of the family's 1533-position model. The record is from RNAcentral.
GACGAACGCUGGCGGCGUGCUUAACACAUGCAAGUCGAACGGAAAGGCCCUGCUUUUGUGGGGUGCUCGAUUGGCGAACGGGUGAGUAACACGUGAGUAACCUGCCCUUGACUUUUGGAUAACUUCAGGAAACUGGGGCUAAUACCGGAUAGGAGCUCCUGCUGCAUGGUGUGGGUUGGAAAUUUUCGGCGGUUGGGGAUGGACUCGCGGCUUAUCAGCUUGUUGGUGGGGUAGUGGCUUACCAAGGCUUUGACGGGUCGCCGGCCUGAGAGGGUGACCGGCCACAUUGGGACUGAGAGACGGCCCAGACUCCUACGGGAGGCAGCAGGGGGGAAUAUUGCACAAUGGGAGGAAGCCUGAUGCAGAAACGCCGCGUGCGGGAUGACGGCCUUCGGGGUGUAAACAGCUGUCGCCUGUGACGAAGCGUGAGUGACGGUAAUGGGUAAAGAAGCACCGGCUAACUACGUG